GGCCGCGAAUUCGCCCUUAGGGUUUGAUUAUGGCUCAGGAUGAACGCUGGCGGCGUGCUUAACACAUGCAAGUCGAGCGAAGCACUUGACUUAGAAUUCUUCGGAAGGAAAAGUUUUGUGACUUAGCGGCGGACGGGUGAGUAACGCGUGGGUAACCUGCCUCAUACAGGGGGAUAACAGUUAGAAAUGACUGCUAAUACCGCAUAAAACUCCAGUAUCGCAUGAUACAGAAGUCAAAACGUUAGUGGUAUGAGAUGGACCCGCGUCUGAUUAGCUAGUUGGUAAGGUAAUGGCUUACCAAGGCGACGAUCAGUAGCCGGCCUGAGAGGGUGACCGGCCACAUUGGGACUGAGACACGGCCCAAACUCCUACGGGAGGCAGCAGUGGGGAAUAUUGCACAAUGGGGGAAACCCUGAUGCGGCGACGCCGCGUGAAGGAAGACGUAUUUCGGUAUGUAAACUUCUAUCA
Molecule: ribosomal RNA, 468 nt
Filed under: uncultured bacterium
Lineage: Bacteria
Description: partial 16S ribosomal RNA
Rfam family: Bacterial small subunit ribosomal RNA
Source: RNAcentral